Molecule: transfer RNA, 66 nt
Filed under: Abisara fylloides
Lineage: Eukaryota; Metazoa; Arthropoda; Insecta; Lepidoptera; Riodinidae
Description: tRNA-Tyr
Rfam family: tRNA
About the family: Transfer RNA (tRNA) molecules are approximately 80 nucleotides in length. Their secondary structure includes four short double-helical elements and three loops (D, anti-codon, and T loops). Further hydrogen bonds mediate the characteristic L-shaped molecular structure. tRNAs have two regions of fundamental functional importance: the anti-codon, which is responsible for specific mRNA codon recognition, and the 3' end, to which the tRNAs corresponding amino acid is attached (by aminoacyl-tRNA synthetases). tRNAs cope with the degeneracy of the genetic code in two manners: having more than one tRNA (with a specific anti-codon) for a particular amino acid; and 'wobble' base-pairing, i.e. permitting non-standard base-pairing at the 3rd anti-codon position.
Source: RNAcentral
AAUAAAAUGGCUGAGAAUUAAGCGAUAAAUUGUAAAUUUAUUAGCGAGAUUAUUUCUCUUCUAUUA